Molecule: long non-coding RNA, 2243 nt
Organism: Astatotilapia calliptera (eastern happy)
Lineage: Eukaryota; Metazoa; Chordata; Actinopteri; Cichliformes; Cichlidae
Source: Ensembl
GCUAUAAGCACAGCAAACGUUUUAUGCUAACUGUUCAAUUAAUAUUUUGCCCAUAAAUCUAUGUGCAAAUGUGGCAAUCUCAAGGCUUUAGUCACUGUAUUUUUAUGAAGUAUGAUGCAUUUUAUUUUGCAGUGAAGGUGUAUUCAAAAUCACAAAACCAUGAAAGCAUCUGAAAAAUGUCCUGUUCAUUCCCACCGUGACUGUUUUUUUUUUUUUCAACAUUCUUGUAUUUACAUUUUAAACUGAAUAUUGAGCAUAUAACUCCAGUUUAUAGUACCACCAUUUCCCCCAGGAUAAUGACCAAACUGUCUGAAAACAUGUAAAUAUGCUAUGCUUCAGAAACACGUGAAUGUGUAGUGCAAAGUGGUUGAAGAGUUUGAGUUCCUCUAUCACUUCUACACUCUAAAAACGGACAUAUUCAACAGCACGUGUUCAAGGUUUAUCAAGAGCUGUGUUCGUCGCGAACGGACAAAGGCUCAAACCAUCAUCUUUUCCUGGUAUCGAAUACCAAGGGACCUUCUGAAGUAAGCUUUAACAAGAUGAGGAGGAGCUCAACGCAGACCUUGCAAUGCAAAUCAUGAAGAUUGCUAUCAUUGGUGAUGGGCCUGCAACCAUCAUCGUUGAGGGAUCCAAGAUCCUGGAGAGGAUUGAUGUUGCCAGAUCCUGUGCUUUGAUGAUGGGAGUAAUCUACGCUCUGAACCUUACCUAUCCCAAGCAGCUGAAAUUUACCUUUGAGGUAUUUCAAAAGCUAUGCCUUGAGCUUGAUGGACAAAAAGCCAGCUCUAAAGUAAUGAAUCUUAAGUUUGGUAUUUUCUAAGGCAGACUUGAUAGACCAUUCGUGAGUGAGUUUCACAAAAACCUUAUUCCUGCAUUUCUGGCACUACAUCAAUGUGUUUUACUAAAUUUUAAAGUGCUGUUCUUAAGUCUUCUGAGUUAAUGUUUUGCCGUGUCUUAAAUGCUGUUAUUUGCACAUUUUUAAGGAAUGCGUUUAAUUUCUCCCAUGACCUGUGUUCUGAGGGUACUGGUGUGUUUUAAAGUUUGUGUAAUGCCCUCUUUAGCUGGCCUUAAUCUUGAGGGUGAAAAGUCAAAUAUAGAAGAGAAUCAAGAAUACUUUGUAAGAGUGCUGACAAAGUUGAAUGAAAGAAGCUUUGCUCAUUUUAUGUUUAAAUUAGUGCAUUUAAUGUCUGCCUGUCAUCUUUUGUUUUGAUUCACUGUCACAUGUUAAAGUAAAAAAAAAAAAGAGGAUUCAAGUAGUAGCUUGUAUUACAAUUUUAAUACACAGUUCCUUAAGUUUCAGCGGGCAAUUUGUGUUCUAGGAAACGGAAGCCCACAAAUCUUGCACUUCACACGCACGUUAAAGAAUUGUGAUGUUUGUUAUUGUAAUUAAAUGGGUCUAACUCAUUUGAAUACAUCUGUCUGAAUUUCUAUUCUUUCUGAGCACCAGGUACGAGUCCCUUAGCUGAUGUCCAGGUAUUUGGCAUCACAUCUGCCGCAUUCAAACAAAUACACACAACAUCCAUUUCUUUUUCUGAAGGUCAUGACACAAGAGCACACACAGCGCAUGUUAAGGCUGACCUUCGUUUGGGGAAAAAAGUGAUCGACAAGUUUCUAAGGUCUUAGAACCUUGACUUCUUUGUGGGCAGGCACCACCAUGCAUGAGCCUGCCCACGCGGUAGUCAUGGUUAUAAGACACAGCUUUUGAUCAAGGUUGUAUUUUGGAGCGACUUAGCCUGCUGGGAAACAGGUAAAUGCCCUUAUAGAAUCUCCUGUAGGACCAAAAAAUUACUACACUGUAACCAAAAUAUCAUAUUUGACCAACAUAAAUACUAUUUAUGCCGACAGUUAAGUUCAUUUUAAUUAUAAAUGUGUUUUAUUUUGAUCAAAAAGUUACUUCACCAUACAUAAAUAUAAUCUUGGAUCAACUUAAAUUCCUGUGUAUUUGUUGACAAUUAUUAAGUUCAUGUUACUCAGAAUGUGUUUUUUUUUGUGGCCAAAAAGUAACUUCACUAUACAUAAAAUUCACGUUGGAUCAACUUAAAUUUUUGUGUUCUAGUCGAAAAUUAUUAAGUUAAUUUUACUUAAGAAUGUUUUUAAUUGUGGCCAAAAAAGCUACUUCACCAUACUCAAAAAUAUUGCUUUGAAUUAAUGCUAUUCUGCCAGAAGUUGGCUUAACUCAAAAAUUCUAGUGGAAAACGUUAACAUGCUUUUUUUAUUUGAACCAAUGUUUUAUUUAUUAGAGUGUA